UAUGCCGGUAUAAUAGGUAUUAGAUACAAAAUAAACCUAAUAUAAAAUUCCUAAUGUUGACAAUGUUGUAAUUUUGAUCAAUUUUAAUUUGUUAAAGAAACCAAUAUUCACGAAGACUAUAGAGACUUCAGAAUAGAGAUGUCUACCAAGCCACUCAAAAUUGCAGCACAUUAUUUUGUGGGUAUAACUAUUAUGUAUAGGUAACUAAAUGUUAUUUUUGCAAUUCUUCUCGGAGGUGUGUAUUUCAUGUUGUGAAUUGGAUUAAUGUACUGGUAUCAUAUUACUAUAUCACUUCCAGAAACCACUCAACACAUUAAAACCCGUCUGUGAUGGAACUAAACUCAAUGACGUAAAUACACAAGACUUAUUUGAAGACUACAUUUCCUAUGGUUCCAAAAUAUGCUCAAAAUCACUUUAGUGAUUUAACUGUUUGUUAAAUGUAUUGGAUAUACUGAUGAAUUUGUGGAAAAAAAAAUCAUUUAUUAGUUUGUGAUAAACAUUUAUGGGAUUGUAUAAAUGUAGAAAAAAUAUCUGAAGACUAAAAUCCAUGUAAAGCAGUGAAUAUGAGAGAACACAUUAUUAUCAAUCAUAAUCUCUCUUAACAUUUUGGUUGAUAAUGUGAUAUUGUUUUAUAAAGUUAAUUGCAAAUACCUAUGUUGAAUAUUUUAUAUAUUUUAUUAAAUACAAUUUGUAUUUGCACAAUACUAAUCAAAAACAAAUAUCCUGAGUCUGAAAGCCAUGGAACACAAUGGAAAUUGAAAGUAUUCCAACCUAAAAUGGAAGCCAAUUAAUUGCAAUGGAAAAUGGAAAUUGGAUAUUAGUGAUCAAUUUGAGAUGAAAACAUUUUAAAUGCAUUCUUUCAAUCUAGUAUUUUAUAUAUUAUUUAUGAAGUGUGUUAGAAAUUAAAAUGUACACUAAUAUAUGAUAAUAAGUAAUGGCUUCAAGUAACCUUGUGAUUAAAACUAAUUUUGAGUACCACACCAAUAACCUAUAGAUUUUGA
Molecule: long non-coding RNA, 1001 nt
Organism: Metopolophium dirhodum (rose-grain aphid)
Lineage: Eukaryota; Metazoa; Arthropoda; Insecta; Hemiptera; Aphididae
Exons: 5
Source: RefSeq, a predicted model, not a curated record